ACGAACGCUGGCGGCGUGCUUAACACAUGCAAGUCGAGCGGUAAGGCCCUUUCGGGGGUACGACGAGCGGCGAACGGGUGAGUAACACGUGGGUGACCUGCCCUUAGCUCUGGGAUAAGCCUGGGAAACUGGGUCUAAUACCGGAUAUGACUCCAUGACGCAUGUUGUGGGGUGGAAAGCCUUGUGCGGCUAGGGAUGGGCCUGCGGCCUAUCAGCUUGUUGGUGGGGUGAUGGCCACCAAGGCGACGACGGGUAGCCGGCCUGAGAGGGCGACCGGCC
This 279-nucleotide ribosomal RNA is filed under the name uncultured bacterium. RNAcentral's name for it is "partial 16S ribosomal RNA". It matches the Rfam family "Bacterial small subunit ribosomal RNA", at positions 29 to 309 of the family's 1533-position model. The record is from RNAcentral.